GAUGAACGCUGGCGGCGUGCCUAACACAUGCAAGUCGAGCGAUUCUCUUCGGAGAAGAGCGGCGGACGGGUGAGUAACGCGUGGGUAACCUGCCCUGUACACACGGAUAACAUACCGAAAGGUAUGCUAAUACGAGAUAAUAUACUUUUAUCGCAUGGUAGAAGUAUCAAAGCUUUUGCGGUACAGGAUGGACCCGCGUCUGAUUAGCUAGUUGGUAAGGUAACGGCUUACCAAGGCGACGAUCAGUAGCCGACCCGAGAGGGUGAUCGGCCACAUUGGAACUGAGACACGGUCCAAACUCCUACGGGAGGCAGCAGUGGGGAAUAUUGCACAAUGGGCGAAAGCCUGAUGCAGCAACGCCGCGUGAGCGAUGAAGGCCUUCGGGUCGUAAAGCUCUGUCCUCAAGGAAGAUAAUGACGGUACUUGAGGAGGAAGCCCCGGCUAACUACGUGCCAGCAGCCGCCGUAA
This 468-nucleotide ribosomal RNA is filed under the name uncultured bacterium. RNAcentral's name for it is "partial 16S ribosomal RNA". It matches the Rfam family "Bacterial small subunit ribosomal RNA", at positions 28 to 523 of the family's 1533-position model. The record is from RNAcentral.